Pongo pygmaeus (Bornean orangutan) is the source of this 11135-nucleotide long non-coding RNA. RefSeq lists it as uncharacterized. Lineage: Eukaryota; Metazoa; Chordata; Mammalia; Primates; Hominidae. The transcript has 2 exons. The record is from RefSeq and is a predicted model, not a curated record.
UUUUUUUUUUUUUUUUUUUUUUUGAGGGGAGCCUUGCUGUGUCGCCCAGGCUGGAGUGCAAUGGCGCAAUCUCAGCUCACUGCAAGCUCCGCCUCCUGGGUUCACGCCAUUCUCCUGCCUCAGCCUCCCGAGUAGCUGGGAAUACAGGCGCCCGCCACCAUGCCCAGCUAAUUUUUUGUAUUUUUAGUAGAGGUGGGGUUUCACUGCCUUAGCCAGGAUGGUCUCGAUCUCCUGACCUCGUGAUCUGCCCACCUCAGCCUCCCAAAGUGCUGGGAUUACAGGCGUGAGCCACCGCGCCGGGCCUGUGAUGCAUUGUAAGACAGAUUUUCUCACACUUUGUUUUGGUCAAAUAUGUACUAAUAGUAAUUGUAAUAAUUCAAUCUAGAAUAAAUAAAUCUAGAUUGAAUCUAGAUUGAAUAGAAAAAUCUAAAUAAAAGUCUAACAGUUUAUGGUCACAGGAAAUUUAAACAAAUUUCAAUUUUAGAGUGUCACAGAGAAUUAUGUAUGAGCAAAAGGAGACUUUCAUUCCUAAAGUUGUAGUAGGGUAAAUGUUUUGGGACAAAGUUGUAGGUAUGGGAGUGGAAUGGAAAUACAUGUGUAAGCAGAGGUUUCUGACUGUUGUAUAGAUGUGUAUUUUUAACCAGAUGAAGGUAGGUGUCCAACUGCAGUGGAGUUUACAUUCUGUUGGAUACAUUUAGAAGUGAUUUAAUAAUUUAGCUAAUAUUUGUAACAAUAGAAACUAUACUUUUUGCAACUAUUUAAAUUUAAAAUGAAUUUUAGGUAUUAAGCUUAGAUAUGCAUAGAUGUAAAUUUUUUUUUUUAGGGUACACAAGGGUAAGAAAGGUUGAAAAUGGCUACUUUACACUUGUCCUUGUAAAGCAGUGCCCACUUAUCCCUGGCUUUGCUCUUUCUGUCAGCCAGAUUCCCUUUCAGGGUCUGACUAGCUUUCCCUCUCCUUCUUGGCCCCUUCAUCCAGUGUGACUUUGCUGUGAAGCUGUUGGGUAAGGUGAAGGUUGGUGUGGCUUUGAUAACACUGGCCAGCUUUCAUUUAUUUAUCUGCUUUUUUCUUCUCUUCAUGUGUGUGGCCUUGGGCAGGCUCUCCUGGCUUGUCUGACACCGAGGUCUGUUCAUCCCCAUGUCUUCCUUCUGAUUUUUCUUAUGGUCAAAAGCUUGGUAAACCUCUCACUUUCUGUCCCAUUCAUCUUCAAUAGCUAGAGGUUAUACCUGGGGCUAUAAAAAUUGGUUGCUGAGAAAUUCUGAUACUGCCUGGUCCCAGUGAUUUAAUACAUAUAUUUGACAUUUUACCUCCACACCUCCUAGGUUGGGUCACUAUUUAGUACCACAGACUGCCCGUGUCAGGUUGGCUGAGAAGUGGGGCCCUGUCCCCUAGCGGUCCUCUUGUCGGGUUCAUUGGCUGGUAUCUUUGGCUCCUCAGGGACUCCCUAACCCACAGUCUUCAAGGAGUUGCAUUAAUUCUCUUAGACAUUUAAUUAGUGCACAGAAGCACACACUAUUAGGUGCUGGAGCCUCAGAGAUGAAUCAUGCUUAGGGUCAUUUUCAGGGUGUGUCUCCACCUCUUAGGGUUGAUAGACCACAUGGCUAGCAAGUGGCCUUGUUAUUGAGGAAUUCUGCAGUUAUCCUUCACCUGUUCUGAUCUGGGAGCUCUCUGUGACUGGCGGGGCUUGAUGGCUUUAGAGAAGGCUGCCCGGGUGGGUGUGGUGGAGGGAAACCUGGCUGUGGCUGCUGUUCUGGGAACCCAUGUCAUCCCUUGGUGGUAGCAGUUCAGGCCUGGUAGCCUGGAGGGCAGCAGCAGCUGCCUCUUGCUCUCAUGACGUGAACAAGAGCAGUGAGGGUGGCUCAGCACCUCCUGAGGUAGGAGGGGAGUGGGACGAUCACUUGCAGUCUCCUCUGCCAUCAGCCACUGUCACUUGCAUAAGCUGGAAUCAGGCCUCCUGACCUCUGUGGCUCCACGGUGCCCGGGUGCGGCACUGCUGCAGGAUGUGUUGGGAUGGGCAGGUCGGGGGGGCCCACAUGCUGCUUGCUCAGGGUCCCAAGGCUGCUGGAGCUGACUUGCCAGGGGAAGUCUGCUGCAAAACCCGAAACGGGGGGCGGUGAGUGGCCAGGAAGAGCAUUCUUUAGGUCAUAUUUUUUUCCUUGAGUUCUGACACAGCCCUCCUGGGACAUCCUGCCUUCUCUUGUUCUGACCUCGUCUAUGACAUAGAUUAGUCAUGGCCACAUGGUUGUACCUCAGGGCCAAAGCACAGGUCUCUACACUGCCUAAUGUGUAUUAGCCAGAUUGGAAUCUUUGCUGACUCCAAAUAUCAUUCCAAGCUGCCCCAGGCUGUGAGAAAUGGUGGCGUUGCCUCCCAGUUGGUAGAGAAGGUUUUAGGAAGAAGGCUUGGAAGGGCUGUAAAGUAAAGCAGACGGAGUUAGGGACCUGGGUUUUCCAAGGCAGGGAAGGAGAGGCUGAGUCUGUGUGGGCUGUACCUGGUGCCUGCCUGAAGGGCCAAGGAAGUAAGUAGGUGCAGAAAUUGGGGUGGUUUCUGAGGGCAUCUUGCCAAGCAGAGAGCUCAAGUCCCUCGUCUCAGCUCUCCUAGGGAGAGGGAGAGAGCAGGGAAGGGCAGCUAGGCUAGGGUGGAAGAGGCAGGCUCUGCUGGUCCAGGGCCCCCUUCAGGGUUCCAGCUGUACCAGGCUUAGGCUUCAGUUGUGAGUGCGGAGCCCUGAGCUCAAGCAUGGAGGCAGCGUGGUUGCUCAGCUCAGCCUCUCAUAGGAAGGCCUGGCAUCAGUUCCGGAAGUGCCUCGCCACUAGAGAGGGUGGGGAAGGUCAGAUGCUCCAGAAUCAGCUGAUACCUGCGAGGCUCUAACCCCAUCUUCCCCUCCCGCCUGCCCCCUGCUUAGGCCACAAAGCCUCCACGUUAUGCGGCAGAUUAAUUUGAAAAUUGAGUUGCAGCUGAAUGAGUUGAUGUCUUCAAAGUUCAGUGGUGUUUGAUUAGAGCCGUCCAGAGACUAGACUUGCUCCCAGGAAAUGAUUCUGACUGAAUAAUUAAAGUGAAUAAAGGUUAGAUUUGUGUUUCUGGCCAAAUCUGUGUUGCAUUCAGCAUCUCCAAAACAUGAAUUCCAUUAACCUUUCAUGAACUAGCAUUAAAUUACUUUCAAUUAGUUGUCAUUCUAAUUAAAGUUGAGUUACACAGAGCAGCCUUUGUUUAUACCUGGUAGCUGUUCCCUUGCCUCCUCUGGAACUAAGUACUCUUGAGCAAAUGGUCAUUUGGAAAGUUGGUUUUAUAACUUUGUGUCCCCCCACCCAUCACUCUGAAUCAGGACCUGUUCCUUGAGCCGAAGGAUGUGGGCGCCCACGGCAGCAGGAGGGCUGGGGGAGCAUUGCUGGCUAGAUUGAACCACGUGACUUGCAAAAAGCAAUCCCAUGGCUGUGGGAAAGGAAGUUAAGGAGUGUUUAAGGUAGGCCGCCCAGCCCAGGCAAGCUUGGGCAGGCCUUGGGGUACCAAGUGAGGGACGGUCUGCCCAGGUGGGACUUGGGCAGGUCGGGAGGGAAGUGUGCUGACCCCUGCGACGCCAUGACCUGGCUUAUUCUGAGCCUUUAUGCCUUGGGUGUGGGUGGCCUUGCUCCUGCUAAGGGGUAGAUCCGAGUCCUCCUCAGGGCCUGUCUGCAGCCUCAGUCUCCUGAGGGCCAGCAUUCCACGCUACUGUCUAGUGGCCACAGCAGGAGGGGUUGAGGGAGGACUGAAAUAAACAGUGUCCCCCUGCGGGACUCACCCAUAAGUUGUCAUCCAGCAUAUUUUUUCUGUUUGUUUUCUCCAUUGAUUAUGGAUGUGACAUGUUCUAACCAAGACAGAAUCUCUAAACCAGUGCGGGAUUCUGCAGGCUGGGGCACUUCGGGCCCUUCAAACCCAGGAUGCCAGAGGUGAGCUCGCUUUCUUUGGCUCCAGGUCUGAACAGAGGUUAGAGGUGCCCACCACUUGCCCUACCUUUGCCAUCAGUAGCCCUUGAAGCACAAAUCAUUCCUUCUGCAGUGUGCUGUGCAGUGGAGACAUGGAGAAAGGCGACACUGCUCCUGGCCUCCCGUGCUUGCAGAAUGAUGAGCACAGUCAGAGCGCAGUGGAGCGGCCCAGGGCAGGGCCAGGCCCUGGGAAGGCGAGAGGAGGAGUGGCAGGGAAGCUCCUGCCGGGGCGCUGUUGAACUUGCACCUCACGUGAGGUGGUUUCCACCAGAGGACAUGGGGAAGGCAUGCACCGAGGUGUGAGGGCAUCUCGGGUGCGCCUGGGGGGUUGGGGAGAAGAGAGGAAAGGCAGGGUCCAGGAUGAGAGUAAGAGGCUUAGGCCUUACGGAGCACAUUCCUGGGGCCAGGCCUGAGAGCUGGACUCUGACUGGUGAGCAGGGUGUGUGUCGGGGCUAACCACCUGAUCCAGCAAGGAUGUUUUUGUUUUGGUUUGCUUCUUUUGAACGCACAGUGGCAGUGUGGAGGACAGAAUGGAGAGGAAAAAGACUCACAGUUGAUAAUUAAGAGUUGUUAUGAGAGCUGAUGGGGGCCUGGGAGUGACAGCCGAGGGCACAAGAGAAAGGAAUGGAUCCCAGGGGCGUGAGGAAGGCAGAGUGAACCCAGUGUGACAACUGCCCAUCUCUGGAGAGGGGAGGAGGUCUCUGGGGUACCCCCAGGAUGGUGCAGCUUGGCUUCUGGGUGAGUGGGGAAUGGAGUACAGAACCCGGGGGUAAACAAGGCAGGGCGUGUUUCUUUGGAGAAUGUGGGUUGCCUGUGGGUCUUCUAGGUGAGGAAUCCCAUAAGCAUUCGGUCUGGGGAGAAGGCGAGGGAUCUGGACUGGAGUUAAAACUCGAGACCGAAUAUACAGGUGGCUGCAGAAACCAGGGGUGUCUGCGACAUUGUUCAGAGGGUUGUGUGGGAGUGAGGAAAUAGAAUGGGGGAUAACCAAGACUGAACAAGGCGGGUGGAGAGGAAGAGAGCAGCGAGGCUCACGGGGUGUGUGAACAGAGGAAGGCAGACAUGACAGAGAGCACACUUUGGGUUCCAUUCAUGUAAAAGCCAAAACCAAACCGACGUCUUCAGUGGCGACAGGAGGUCAGAGUUGAGGCCGCCUUGUGGGAGUCCCUGACGGGAGCAGGUCACAGGCCGACUUCUGAGUGCUGGCAGCAAUCCGGGUCUUCCUCCAGGGGUGGCUGUGUGGGUGUAUACGUGUGCACAGUGCGCUGAGAUUUUGCACUUUAUUGGAAGUAAUAAAUUGAAAAAGUGUUAAAAAUAAGAAAGGAGGAAAGCAAGGAAGGAGGGAGGGAGGAAGGGCAGGAGGAAAGAAAGAAACCAGGAGGAAUGGUGGCAGGAGAGGAGGGGGUUUCAAGGAGGAUGACGGCCAGUGUCGCUCACAUGCCUGGAGCUCAAGCCACUGUGCGGGCUCUGUAGAGGCAGGAGUAACGCCUCUGGCCUUGGAGGCUGCCCCGCAGUCCUCGCGGUUCAGCACUAGUGUGUGUCCCUCAUGCUUCGAGUGAGUGGUGUGGAGCGGAGCCUAGCGUCGAAUCAGGACAUGGAGGAGCAAGAGCCACUGGGGGAUCUUGUGCCCGAGAAACCCCUCAGCUCCUGGUGGUGCCGACGGCCGUGUCUGUGGUUUCCUGAGUGCCCUCCCUGGCAAAUCCUUGUGUUUAAACUUGAUAAUGUUUAAUAAAAAGAUGUAAUUAACUACUAAAAUUUGAUUAAAAAAAACUUCCUUCUAUUUUAAUGUGAGAGUUUCCCAUAGAAACCACUUCAGUUUUGGCGUGGUGAACGGCAGCUUUAUUAAUGGAGCCAUCUGCAGGCUUUCCUCACAAUCUGUUGCAUUGCCCAUGGCUUCCAGUGCAAACACCGGUGAUUGUGAUGCAGGCUCCAGCCAGUGAUCAGAGGGGACGGCCUUCCUGGCGCUCUGAUGCAGGGAUAGCUAAUCUCUCGUUCUCUUAUGUGCUGAGCUCGCCAGGAUGUCUCUCCCCUUUGGAUUGGAUGUGGGCAAGGCCUUCAUCUUCUUUUUCCUUUCUAGACCUGGGAGAUGGUACCUCUGCUGCACAGAUAGCACCUAAACCCACCUCCACUCACUGGAAAAUGCUUCCAUGGGAAGCAAUAAUUCUCCCCGUGAGUGAAAACUGUUUCCUGAGGCCUUCUCCACCGUAGCCAGUGGUUAGAGCCCUGCUGUUAGAUUCCUCACUGGCCCCCCGACAGGCUGACCGCCAGGCGGGGAUGGAGUUGGAUCACACCAAGUCUCCAGGGUCUUGGUGAGGGCUGAGUCCUAUCCGGGGGAUUCUUGGCUCCACUCAUAAUUAAUCAUCUUCUCCAUGGAAAUGUCCAAGCCUGGCAAACGUUUCUGCUAAUGAUUCUGGUGAGAUGUUCACAGGCAGCACAUGGCAGGCCACAUCAACACAGAUCUUGCUAACAGAGCCGGGGCCUGUCGCUCUCGGAGAAAGCCUGGUCCCCUCAUCUCAGUUCUGCAGCAGUCUUGGGAGGGCUCUGCUAAAGAAAGUGAAAUUCUGCUCUUCCUUUCCAUUUGAUUAAUUCUGAAUAAGGGAAGCUGAUUUAGCCCAGACACCCAAGGAAAGGCAGAGGCUGGAUGGCUUCAGGGGAGGGCAUCCGAGGAGGAGUGGGUACCAACGACACAUCAACCAGAAGCAAGACGAGGAGGGAGAAGGGACUGGCCGCUGUGGUUGGGGGAGAAACAUGGAACGGCUGUCUCCGCCUUGCAUGUGGGCUAGGAGCAUGGGGAGUAGGGUUAUGGACCAACCAACCGUCAUCGGAGGGGCGGACCAGAAGAUGAAUUCUUAGUGCUCCCAGGUCGUCUCUUGUCCCUAUGGUCCCAGAUGCUGAGCUUCACAGUCAUACCCCAGACUGACACCCUCCCUCGCCUAGGCUUCCCUCAUGGCCACGCCAUGCUAGGGGUUCUCCCAUAGGGACCCAUGAUAGCAGAGCGGGCGCUAGAAAGCCAGUGGGCACCGCGUGGUCCCACGGUCCGCACUGUCUCCUCUGACGGUCAGUGGAGCACUGCAGGUGCACACGUGCAGGGAGAGUUUCAAAAGGCUUUGUGGUAGUAAGGCUCAUUUUCUUCUCCGUAUUCCCUUCAAAAGCAUAAAAAGAAGGUAAAGUUUCUAUGUCAUUAUGUACAUUUUUUAUUUUGAGACUAACAGGAAGUUGAAAAAUAGAGUCCCAUGAACCCUUCCCUCCGCUUCCCCCAGUGGUGACAUCUUACGUUAACUAUAUGAGACCAGGAAAGUAACAUUGGAAGGACACAGUAAUCCAGACCACAGGCUUCCUUGGUUUUCAGCAGUUCAGCGUACACUCUAUGGAAUUUGACCCCACGUGUAGAUUCAUGCGGCCGCCAUCCUACUCAUCGUCACUGCAGAGGAAUCCCCUUGUGCCACCCCUUUGUAGUUGCCUCCCCUCCCUUCCAUCCCUGUCCCCUGAAGUCACUAGUCUUUUCUCUGUCUCUGUAGUUUUGUCAUUUCAAGAAUGGUGUAUCAAUGGGAUGCAGUUUGUAGACUUUUGAGAUGGGCUGUUUUUCACUGUUGCUCAUGCCCGUGAGCACCAUCACAUGUGCAUGUGUUCACAGCCUUUUUUCUUGCUAAGUAAUAUUCCACUGUGUGGGUUGCACAUCACCUUGGUUUUUCUGUGAAGAUUGCAGAAGUAGCAACAUCACUUUUUAAAUAUUGAGAUUCAGCCUUUUGGAGGUUGAUUCUAGAAUUUAAGCAAUGGGUGGAUGGUUUCAGUGCAUGAGUAAUCCAAGAUUCCUUAGGAAUAAUUUACUUUGUACAUUUUCCAUUAUACAUUAUAGCAUCUAGUUACAAUUUUCUAAUUUUGAGGGAACAUGACUUUGCUCUAAACCAAUUCUAAAAUAUACAAAGUUUGUUUUUACAACCUUUCUAGAGUGUAUGCUCCGUGAGGGCAGGGGCUAAUCUUUCUCAUUUUGGGAUUCCUUGCUGAGCCCCACACAGUUCCUUGCACUAGGCAGGUUCUUAAUAUAUAUCUGAUGAAUGGGUGCCUCCUUUGGAUCCUCAGUCCCACAUAAACUCCCCAGGAUUUACACUGGCUGCCACUUUGAAGGUGGUGGCAACACAAUGCAUGUUUCUUGCAGAGAGACUGAAGUCCGUAGACGAGGAGCUGCUGUAAGGCAUCUGACUUGCAUUUGUCAAUUGAAACAGAGCUCUACGGUGACAGCUCCAGCUUCUGGUUUCCCUGCUUUUAACCAGGUUAUCAAAUGAUUCCAACCCAGUGUCAGCCAAACGGGCAUCAUUGUUGACAGUGGCUCCAGUCUCCUGUGACCUUUCCUAGGAGGCACAAGGGCUUGGUUACUGUGAUCAGUCACGCAUGAGAUGGGAUGACCAGGCUGAGGGCUUUGCAUAUUAAGAAAUUCAUUUUCCUCCCUGAGGCCCUUUCUUCGGGCACUCACUUUCUUCUCAGUGCCUUCAAUGAGAUCUGGUGAAAGGACACCCUGUCAGGAGUUGACGUCGGCCUCUGGAAUCAAUUUUGUUGAAUCCCACUGAGAUACUUAGUCAUCAUCAGCAGUGGUCCAUAUUCAUCUGUCAGUGGAUGGCUCUUCAGGAAAAUCUAUUUUCAGGACUACAGGAUUAUGUUGCUAAAAGGGAGGAGACGGAAGAUCAAAGUUCUAUGGCUGAGCAUGAAGUUGACUCAACCUCCCAACACUUGCCACAGGAAGUGAGGGAUGGGGAAUGAGGACGAAGUGGAAAAAGCACAUGGCCAAUGACGGAGAGAAGCUGCUACGCUGAGCUCAGUGAAAUGGAAUUGCCCAAAGCCUGGAUAAUAAGGGAGUGGUGUUUUCACACCAGUAGGUUUUAAAUUGAACAUUAGGGACUGAGGACUUCUGUGCCAUGGUCAGAGAAGGCAGGAAGAACAAGCAUUUGCUGGCAGCAGGUGGCACAGUGAACCAGCCUGGUGGUUCUUCUGCCCCAUGCUGUGGUUGUAGGGAUAGCAGGGAAGGAUUUGUGCAUAAGCUCCCCUUCACCUCUGACACGAUUCAGAGUCCAAAGCCUCAUCAUCACCUUCUCUUCUGCCAGUCUUAAAUUCUUCUACUGGAAGUUUAACCGAUUUCAUUCUUAUUAACAACCAUUGUUAUUUUACAGUGCAUAUAACCUACAGCAAGCGAGCAUGGCAGCUGGCCGCACGGACUCCGGAGGCGGGAGUACCUGGCUUCAACUCGUAGCUCAGCCAGUUGGCUUCUCUGUACCUCAAGUUUCUUCAUCUGUGAAAUGGAGAUAAUCGAAUUUAGUAUUUUUGAAAAGAUUGAGUUAAUACAUGUUAAACACAUGAAGUGUUAACUGUUUUCAUUGAAUAGCAUCUAGUCAUGGGGCUGGGCCGUAUUUUAAUCAUUGAACACCUUGGUUUUAUUUCAGCCUAUUUCUUCAUGUUUUUGUCCUUUGAGACAUAGAAGUGGUGCCCUUCAGGUUUUCUACCAGAUUUCUGAAUUGGAACCUACAGACCAUUCUGUCUCUGUGGCUGCUGGAGACUCAAGUCGUGGCAUCUUGGACAAAGGGACUUUUCCAGCAGGGUGGGCUUCAGUGAUGGUGACACAGAUGUGCAGCAUCGCUGUGUCGUGGACUCACCUCCUCCCGGACUGAGGACCAAGACUGACAGAGACUGUCUUCUGUUUCCCUUAUCUCCUUUCCAAAGUCUGUGAAUCUACCCUGGUCCUUUCCUUCUAUGUCUAAUGAAUGUCUUUCUCCUAGUGUAGUAGAGGAAGUACAAAUUUUGAAGUUCUAGAACAUAAAAAGUCUCAGCAUGGCCAUGAUCUAAACAAACAUGGGCUGGUUACUAAAUCUCCCAAACUCAUUUCCUCAUCUACUGUCACCUCCCUGUAUCCCUGAACACCUGGGUAUUGGGAGAUGUUGGGCCCACAGUAGGUGCUCCUCCAGGGGCAGCUCUUCUUGGUCCAUAUCCUGCCCAUCUGCUCUUCAGCCUUCGUGGUCCUAAAAACAUGUACUUGUCCUUUAUUUACAGCUUUAAGCUGGAAAACUAGUUCCUUCUAGAAGUUACACUAAUACAACACCUCAAUGUGCCCAAAAUCUAAUUCAUCAUUUCUCCAUAGAAGUAGUUUUGGAUUUUCUUACUUUUAAAGAAAAAUCACAUUGUUGAGCGGGUUUGUUUUGGUGCCCACUAGCCAUUCUGUCUCAGAAUCAGUGAAAAUGGAACUUCUACCCCAGGAUAGCCUCUCAUGGAUUAGUGUACGUAAGUGGCUGUGAAUAUUCAGUCACCAGGGACAGGUAAGGCAAUAAUGAAAACCCCAUUAUUUCUAUGAUUGUAAAACUGGGGAAUGUUUGUUUGGAAUACUAUCAACCUAUUCUUCAUAAAGAAAAAUUUGUAGUAGCCAAUUUGUGAUUGUGGUAUACAGAAGAUCUGCGUUACUAAAGCAACAUGGGAGAGAUGGGAGAAAGCAGAGAAUGCCAUGGCCUACUGAGUUCAAGUACUUCACAAAGGCUAACAAACACUGCGAGGCAGCCUAGUCAGAUGGGUAACCAAGAUUAUCAGGAUUAUCCAAUAUUAAACAUUAGAGAAAGUGUUGACAUGAAAUAAAACAAAGCUAUCCCCAUUUUCAAUGGGAGCAUAAGUCAGAAGUAAUUUCCUCUAACAUUAUGAGAUGGGAGUUUGUUACUACCAGAAUGAUUUUAUCCACAGCAGCAGCAGUAGCCCACUGAUAAAUGUUGUCUUCUGAAUUGUCAUGCCUUCUGAUAACUGGAUAGUCAUGGAAACUCGCAGUAUAAAUGAAGAAAGAGUUAAGACGCGCUUAAAAAGAGGAAACAUUUUGAUUAGUUUAUUUUUUAAUCUUCAAAAUUUUCUGCCAUGAGACAGGAAUGCAUGAUAGCAAUGGCUCAACAUCUUCACAUGAAACACUUGGAUUCAUUUUCAUUCACAAGUUUUUCUAAAAACAUCUACAGUUUCAUAACCCCACCCACUUCCAACCAUUAUCACAGAUUUAACUGACCAUUAAACAGUAGUUGCCAGCAUUAAAUAGCUGGAACGCUUCCUGCGUAUUAGUAGUGUCUUUUGAAACUACCACUGAAGAGUAUCAUGAUUAUAAAUCUCAUUGUACAUGGCAACCCCAAAGGUGACUGAUGUUCUCAAAUAAACUCCCUGCUGAUCACCGAGA